This 402-nucleotide ribosomal RNA is filed under the name uncultured prokaryote. RNAcentral's name for it is "bacterial SSU rRNA". It matches the Rfam family "Bacterial small subunit ribosomal RNA", at positions 355 to 774 of the family's 1533-position model. The record is from RNAcentral.
UAGGGAAUAUUACACAAUGGAGGAAACUCUGAUGUAGCAACGCCGCGUGGAGGAUGACACAUUUCGGUGCGUAAACUCCUUUUAUAUGGGAAGAUAAUGACGGUACCAUAUGAAUAAGCACCGGCUAACUCCGUGCCAGCAGCCGCGGUAAUACGGAGGGUGCAAGCGUUACUCGGAAUCACUGGGCGUAAAGCGCGCGCAGGCGGCCCGUUAAGUUGGAUGUGAAAUCCCCGGGCUCAACCUGGGAAGUGCAUUGGAAACUGGCAGACUUGAAUACGGGAGAGGGUAGUGGAAUUCCUGGUGUAGGAGUGAAAUCCGUAGAUAUCAGGAGGAACACCGGUGGCGAAGGCGGCUGCCUGGACCGAUAUUGACGCUGAGACGCGAAAGCGUGGGUAGCAAACA